AUGGGCUAUUUUCAAGGCAGAUACAUCUUUGAAUGUUUCCCAAUUUUUCCAGAGAAGGUAGGACGUCAGAAGUUCUGCCAUUGUUGAAGGCAUUGAGGAAUAUGGUGCAGAAUUCUGAGGACUACUUUUGGGAGUUUCAAGGAUCACACAGAACCUCUGUUUAUCUGUUUCUGUUUCUGCAUCUCUGCAUUAGCUUUGUUAGGACCAGUUUCAGUUGAAGAUGAACUACUGGCAACAAAGAAUGCUUAGAGGAUGGAGUCCCCAGUGAUAGACAGAUAAAGCAGCUUACAAGUAACAACAACUGUUAAAAGGAACAUAAUAAACAUUUUAAAAAAACAGAA
Molecule: non-coding RNA, 341 nt
Organism: Pantherophis guttatus
Lineage: Eukaryota; Metazoa; Chordata; Lepidosauria; Squamata; Colubridae
Source: RefSeq, a predicted model, not a curated record